This 6088-nucleotide long non-coding RNA is filed under the name Prunus persica (peach). RNAcentral describes it as "long non-coding RNA (PPER_LNC005694)". The record is from RNAcentral. Lineage: Eukaryota; Viridiplantae; Streptophyta; Magnoliopsida; Rosales; Rosaceae.
AGAAAGAAAGGGGAGAAGAGAAAAGAGAGGAGAAAAGAAGAAAGGAAAAAGAGAAGAGGAAAGAAGAGGAAAAAGAGGAGGAAAGAUAGAAGAGGAAAGAGAGAGAAAAUUCAGUGAGCCUCACAUAUUGUAAACUCUAAAGUUGUAGCCCUAUUAUUUUAUAUAGUGAAAAAGUUACUGCUGCUACUCUCCGAGGACGUAGGCAUAGCCGAACCUCGUAAAUGUUGUGUCUCAUCUACUUUACGUGCAGCUCAAUAUUCAUACAUAUUCCAGGUUAUUUUUAUAACACGUUAUCAGCACGAGAAGCUCUCAGGUAUAAUUUUUGUGCUGCACUAUUAUCUAUACUACUAACCACUAACAAAAAUGGACCCUUGGUAAUACUAAACCUAUUAUCAGUGGGAGACCGUUACUAAUACUAACUUUUUCUUAUUUUAUUAGGUGGUGGUUUUAACCCCACAUUUAUUUACUGUAUGGUGUAGGUUUAUUACCCAUACAUGCCACCUUUACUUUAUCGUCUACGCCUUUGCUUUUAUUUAAAUGUAUGGAGCAGAAUUAGUGCCCAUACAAGCACAAUUUACUUUACCGCACAUUUAAUUUAUUUAAAGUAUGGUGCGGGAUUAACGUUCAUACAGCAAGCAAUUUAAUUUAUGAAUUUAAUUUACCGCACAUUUAUAUUUAUUUAAAAGGGUGGUGCGGGUUUAUCGUCCACGCCUUUAUUUUUAUUUAAAUGUAUGGAGCAGAAUUAAUGCCCAUACAAGCACCUUAACUUUAUGAAUUUAAUUUACCGCACAUUUACAUUUAUUUAAAGUGUGGUGCGGGUUUAUCGUCCAUACCAGUAAUUUAUUUAUCAGCAAUUUAUUUUAUGGAUUAAUUGUGCUGUAUGAUGAGUUUUUCCAGUAUUCAGAUCAGGACCAGAAGUUCCUUGAUCCUCAUCAUACAAUUACAUCAGGACUUGAAGAUCCUUGAUGAUGAUAUGAGAGCUGGCAGUCUCUCCGGUACUGUAUUUGUAAACAUGUGAUUGGACUUAAAGGUCCUUGAUCCCUGACAUGUAAAUAAGGACCUAGAGUUCCUUAAUGAUGUAACAGUACCGUAUUGGUUCAUAGUGCCGUACACAUUGAUGAUAACUGUACUGGCAGAUGAAUAGAUACGUAUUCAUGACUUGAUGAAUAGUACUAUUCACAUGAAUAGUGACGUAUGCAUAAAUAUUAACCAUUUUGGGUAAACCGUCACUAUAUACAAAAGGGAACCUGCAGUUCCUUAAACUCAUGGAUGUGCAAUUAAAUGAGAUGCCAGAAGUUCCUCAAAAUAUGGACAAUUAUGUAAGGGCUUGAAAUCCCGAAAUAUGUACAGAAAAUUGUAAAAAUGUCCAUACCAUGAGAAUAUGUGGCUUUGGCCUGAAGUUCAAAAUUUAACAGUGUUGAGAACCUGAAGUUCCAACAAUUAAAUGGACAACCCUUGAGGUAUUAUUGCAAAUUGUGGUAUGCCACAUAUUUCUUUGGCAUAAGAAGAUGAUGAAUUUAAAGUUCGAUUUUGUUAUAAUCGACACCUCAAGGAAGAAAUAUAUUUUGUGAAUUCCGGUUGUUAAGAAUACACCGCGAAAUGGAUAAUAUUAAUAUAAACCUCAAAUAAUGAAUUGAGACUUCCCACAUAUUUUGUUAUAUCUGGGCCGGAAGCCCAUGGAUCCAAAUAUAUGAGAGAUCCUAAACUUGAAGUUGUGGGUAUAUAGUAGUUAAUGCUCUUCACUACUAUAUUGCGAUAUUAUCAUGGCUUUUACUCAAUUCAUAUUUCAUGUCCAUUUGAAAAGGGCAAAUAAAUUCUGAGUUUGUGCCCAGGCCAUAAGUUCCGGGCUACCAUACGUUGAAAUAUGAAAUUUGGGAGAGUCGAUGUGGUUAUUUGAACCUAUAAGGCACAAGGUUCCAAAUCGUCAUUUUGAAAAGACGUAAAAACCACAGGUGCAAGUUUAAGAAUAUGCGCAAUUAUUAUAACAGGAACAUAUAACAGAUAGAUUUUUCCACCUGCAAUGAAGGUGCAGGCCCUGUGAAAUCUAUAAAAAAUUACAUUAUGUUCUGGAAGCCUCUGCAGGAAGAUGACGGCGCCUCUUAAGCUUAGCCAUGAGCUUCUCGUGGUCUCCCAAAAUUCUUUCAUUGGAGACCUGCAGUAUGUCUAGCCUUCUCAGUGUAUCAACAGAGUACGAACUCACCAGUUUCAACAAGGCAUUAUUCUCUCCUUUAAGUUUCUCAACCUCCUGUUGAGACUCAUGAAGCAUUCUUUGGAGAGACGAAUUUUCAGUUGUUAAAUUCUCAACUUCGUUUGCUCUGGCACGCAAACGAUCAGCCAUGUUAGAAACAGAAGCAGCACUCUGAAUGCUAAAAGCCAUUGAGUCAUCAAUAGCCUCUUCCUCUGAUCUCCCUGUCAACAACAUUUCAUCCAUUGGAGUAAUGAAAUUCCUAGCUACUAUGACAGCAGUAGCAUCAUUCAUCAUCACAGAAUCAUUAACUGUGAGAUGACGAUUUUUGGAUACAAAGGAUGGACCCCAAACUUGGGCGUCACUGGUUGUUGUGGGAGCAUCAUUUAAAUUGAAAUAAUUUGGGCAGGAAGAAGAGGAAGCCAUUUUUUUAAGAAGGUUUCGAAGAAAGUCUUAGAAAAACUAAAGGUUCGGAAAAUGAAGGAAAUUGAGUUGAAACGCAGUUUGCAAAGGCAAUAUCUAUAGACGAAAAUGUGGCAACUUUUCAGGACCCCAAUGUCUUCUCGAAUCCCCAUAUUAUCUUUUUCUUUCCCAGAGUCCAAAACUUCACAUGGCCUCUAAUAAUGCCUGUCGGCACUUUCGGCGUUUUUCAAAGUAUUAUUUUCAAAGCCGAUCUUGCUUUACGGAUUUCACGGAGCUAUUUUUUCAAAAGUAUCCCGAGAAUCUCGCAAUUUUCCUAUGGUUAAUUUGAAAUUUACCGGUUCUACCUAUUCAUUGUAUUUGUGUAUAAAUGUGUUACUAACGAAAUUUUCCUUUGCAGAAGACAUCCAGUUUACUCCAUACUUAGUGAUGCGAUAUCUACUUAUUUUUCUUAUCAGUGAGCACUCAAUAUGCCUGAGAAGCAAGACUAUCUCUGAUCAUCCAUUCAGGAAGCAAGACUAUCCCUGAUCAUGUUUCCGCUACAUUAGGGAACUGUGAAGGUGACCUUAUGCUCCAAUCUCCUGAGGUCUUUCUAGACUAGGAGAAAUGAGAGCUUGUUGUUUGCUCCCACCAGCUUCCUUCCUUGAUUGCUUACCUUACCUUGCAAUCAAUAUCACAAUCUUUUUGCAUUUUUUCUCUUUUUAUAACUCUCUGUUCAUAAGAGAUUUUAUUUCUUUAGAAUGAACAUCUGAAGAAUGAAUCCAUGCAGUGAUCCUAACUCUGAGAGUUAUUUGUUUUUGACAGAGAAGAGAAUUGUGAUUUUUGCUCUUGCAGGAUAUAACUAGACCAUCAAGCGCUACAUUAUAUUUACUAGGCUGAUAUGAGCUUGAAUGAUACUUGAGAAAAGUUUCUCCCACCUAAGGAUGUAAGCAAUACUUGUGUUAUUUUAUGCUUAUAUACCUAUUUGAUAUUUUAUCUUGAAAGGUAACCAAAUGGGGAGAUAAGUCCGUUCCAAAAGAAUGGCUUGUAUGUAUCCAUGAAUUAUUAAUGCAAAUUUUACAGAUUGCAAGUUGGAUACAUUGAUAAUACACUGCACAGAUUAAAGUCCCAUAAGAACAAAAUAUGGGUAUAGCAGUGAUCAAUAUGAUGCACGCCUAUUGCGUAGCAAAUGAUAUGGAUUGAAGUCCCGAAAGGACAAUCCUUUGACAUGUCAAUAUUGAUAUUAUACACGCCUAAUGCGUAGCAAAUUAUAUGGGUUAAAGUCCCAGAAAUUAAUUGACAUGUAUGUAUUAAUCUGUGGCAUGCCUGCAGCAUGACAGAUAUAUGGGUUCUAAAUGUUCCAACUCUCUAAAUAGAGAUUAUCCAUGCCCUACUGUAAAAUAACGCUCCAUUGGAGGUUAUAAUCCACAUUCUCACAUAAUAAAAGCCCCCUGAAGUGGCUUGGGUACCCAAAAGCAAAGAAAUGCUUAUAAUUGAUGCAUGCGCAUGCACAUGAGAAUGGUGGAAUCAUGAAUGACAAUUUUUGAUCAUGAAUUGAUGAAUGACAAUUUUUGGUUUUGGAGUAGCUACUCAAAUCAUCAAUGGGCUGUGUUGAUUGGAACCACGUUCAAUUAUUAAAUGUCGACAAUAUCAUUGGCCAAAAUGGAACGAGGUAAUUCCAUUAUAAAUGAGAAUGAACGUGAAAGAACAAACCCACAAUACGAACCCCAAAAUUUGUUAAUACUGAAAGUUAUACUUGGGUGUUCGGAAUAAAAGGGAAUAUACCUACUUUGUAUGACACACUGUUUCUGGCAGAAACAAGGAAUGUUGGGUUUUCUCCAUAUUUACAGAUUCAAUUGUGCCCCCCUUAUUACACAAUUACGGAGACCAACAUAUUAUCUUUAAGGGUUAUUAAUGCACAGAGCAUAUCGCCAGAAGCGAUUUUCUAAAGAUGUAUAAAUAGCUGAGUAAAAGCUAUAUAAUGUGUCAUAAAGUUUAAUCCCUUUUAACCAAAAUCCGUUGAGAGGAUUGAUAUUGCAUAGAGCAAGUCCCUAAAGGACAUGUGCUUGAAGCACAAAAUUUGUACUCAAUAUUAAUAUGCAUAAAUUACCUCAGUGAGUACAUUGAUUAUAAUGUGAUUGCAACACAUUAAAGCUUCUACAGAAUUCAUGAAAUAUUUGUCUCGAUCGAGCAUUAUGCCAACGAGAUUCUUGCUUAUACUAAGAAAGUAUUGAAGUAUUUUUAUAAGGAUUAUCCGUUGGAUACUUUAAUGAUUUUCCGGAAGUAUAUUGGACCGGACAUCAUAUUUUCCAAAUAGGGCUCAACUCCAUCACCAUCAUUUUGGGAUGAUGUGAGGUAUAUUUGAUGCUAUCUAAGCAUAACACCAUAUACGGGCAUAUUUUUUAGUGAACUUAUAAAUGGCCCAAGUGUUCUAAGAUAUGCGGACUCAGGAAAUCUCUAUGGUUGCUUACUGGAAAAAGCUAGUCAUGAAGUUUUCAGGGGGAGAUAUUCAUCAGGGGGAGCAUGGUAUUAAUAAAGACCUUCAUACACUAUUGACUCACAGCAGCAGUGUCAACUAUGAUAUUCAGACAGAUGAUCAACAGUAUGGCUUACAGAUAUUUUGCCAAGCAUCAGGGGGAGCGUGCUGUCAAUACAGACCCUUACACACUAUACUCUUUUUCCUUCGUCCAGGUUUUUAUCCCACUGGGUUUUUCCUGGCAAGGUUUUAACGAGGCAGUGUCGCACGCGCGUCAAUAUACACAGAAUUUUGUGUUACACGUGAUUAUGUACUCUUUUUCCCUUCGACCAGUUUUUGUCCCACUGGGUUUUUACUGGCAAGGUUUUUAACGAGGCAUAUUCCAUAUCAUUUGUGGUCUCCAAGGGGGAGUGUUGUAAAAGUUUGAAGGUGGAGCCCACAGAGGAAGUUUCCUUGCAUCUUCCAGGAACUUUCCCUUCCCUGUAUUUAUCAAUUCAGGAAGUUUCCUUGCAUCUUCCAGGAACUUUCCUUUCCUGUAUUUAUCAAUUCAGGAAGUUUCCUUGCAUCUUCCAGGAACCUUCCCUUCCCUGUAUUUUGCCUAAACAUUAGCCUAUAAAUAGGCAUACCAAUUGUAAAGGGGAGUGUGACCAACGGAGAAAAGAAAGAAAGGGGAGAAGAGAAAAGAGAGGAGAAAAGAAGAAAGGAAAAAGAGAAGAGGAAAGAAGAGGAAAAAGAGGAGGAAAGAUAGAAGAGGAAAGAGAGAGAAAAUUCAGUGAGCCUCACAUAUUGUAAACUCUAAAGUUGUAGCCCUAUUAUUUUAUAUAGUGAAAAAGUUACUGCUGCUACUCUCCGAGGACGUAGGCAUAGCCGAACCUCGUAAAUGUUGUGUCUCAUCUACUUUACGUGCAGCUCAAUAUUCAUACAUAUUCCAGGUUAUUUUUAUAACAGUAUUGUAUUUGUUGGUACCCUUUGUAUAAUGAGAAGUUUCCAAACAUUUUUUUUCUUCUUUUCAGUUAUUGCAACUUGCC